Molecule: transfer RNA, 77 nt
Filed under: Limisphaerales bacterium
Lineage: Bacteria; Pseudomonadati; Verrucomicrobiota; Verrucomicrobiia; Limisphaerales
Description: Verrucomicrobia subdivision 3 bacterium (hot springs metagenome) tRNA-Arg
Rfam family: tRNA
About the family: Transfer RNA (tRNA) molecules are approximately 80 nucleotides in length. Their secondary structure includes four short double-helical elements and three loops (D, anti-codon, and T loops). Further hydrogen bonds mediate the characteristic L-shaped molecular structure. tRNAs have two regions of fundamental functional importance: the anti-codon, which is responsible for specific mRNA codon recognition, and the 3' end, to which the tRNAs corresponding amino acid is attached (by aminoacyl-tRNA synthetases). tRNAs cope with the degeneracy of the genetic code in two manners: having more than one tRNA (with a specific anti-codon) for a particular amino acid; and 'wobble' base-pairing, i.e. permitting non-standard base-pairing at the 3rd anti-codon position.
Source: RNAcentral
GCAUCCGUAGCUCAAUUGGAUAGAGCAUCUGACUACGGAUCAGAAGGUUCCAGGUUCAACUCCUGGCGGAUGCACCA